RNAcentral lists this long non-coding RNA (1080 nucleotides) under Homo sapiens (human). RNAcentral's name for it is "HSALNT0326774". The record is from RNAcentral. Lineage: Eukaryota; Metazoa; Chordata; Mammalia; Primates; Hominidae.
AGUGCCUGAGCACGCCAUCCUCCUGUACCCUACUCCAUUACGAUGUGAUUCCUUCGUGUUAAAACUGUGGGUCCAGUGUAAUCAUACGAGCCUUUAAAAGCAGAAGAGGAAGUAGGAAGAGGAAAGCAGAAUGGAUGCAGCAGAAGAGGGAGUCAGCGAGGUUCCAAGGUGUACCUUGCCCUACUAACUUUGGAUCUGGCCAAUGGAAUAUAAGGAGAUUUGACCUGUGCUGCUGUGAUUAACAGACAUCAGAGGCAUGGUACCAUGAGGACAGAGACCUCAACUGUGUGUUCAUCAUUAAGUCUCCAGAAUUCAGCAAAAUAUAUGGCACAUAGAAGGAAGAAAAACAACAGUAACUAGAUGAAGCAAGGACCACCCUUCUGGACAACAAAGGGAGAGGAAUGAAAGUCUGACCUAGGAAAAGACGGAGUCUCGCUGUGUUGUCCAGGAUGGAGUGCAGUGGUGCUUUCUCAGCUCACUGCAACCUCUGCCUCCCAGUUCAAGCAAUUCUUCUGACUCAGCCUCCUGAGUAGCUGGGAUUACAGGCACCUGCUACCACACCAUGCUAAUUUUUGUAUUUUUAGUAGAGACGGGGUUUCUCCAUGUUGGCCUGGCUGGUCUCGAACUCCUGACCUCAGGUGAUCCACCUGCCUCGGCCUCUCAAAAUGCUAGGAUUACAGGUGUGAGCCACCACACCUGGCCAACUUAUCCUUUUUUUAACAUCUAGUUUUCUGUGAGUGUUUUCUAAUGUGCACUGUAGACGGACAUAGUGGUAUGUGAUUACUAUUCAUAGAUAAAUAAUAAUUUGUUUAUUAUUGUGUAAUAAACAUUGUGUGAUAAAGAAUUUGGCUGACCUUUGUUUCUGGUUCUUGAGAGGUAAUCUUUCAACCCAUGGAGUUUCCCAAGUGAUUGGAGUGUCUUUGUUCUUCAAGGUGGGCCCCAUAGAGCAUAUUUGAUGGUUUAUGCUAAUGUGAUGACUCAGGAUGGAAGCCGGCCAUGUUAGGAAGACCAAAGACAUGAUGAGAUGGUUGGGACUUUGAGCCAGGUGGCAUCAGUUCCACUUCCAAGGAGAGAAGAUGC